AUUAAAAUAAUUUAUAUUGUAUUACAUACAGUCACGUAAUAAAUAAAACAUUGCACAAAGAAUACAACUACAUUCGUACACUAAAUUAAGUCAUAUUGUAUCUGUACAGUUAAAUGCAUAAAAAAGGAAAACAAUGGUGUAGUGUAAUAGAACACCAGACAUUAUCAAGUUACAUACAUUCGUAUAUCGGACCCAUUUACUCCGAAACAGUCCUCGUCAGUAUUGCACGAAGAACACAGCAUUUCAUGUUGAAUUAUCAAAUAACAAUUAUUAUGCAUAAUGUACACUAAAAUUAGUGCAAAUAAAUUGCAUUAAAAAUCAAUGCAACAAAC
This 332-nucleotide long non-coding RNA is filed under the name Mytilus galloprovincialis (Mediterranean mussel). The record is from RNAcentral. Lineage: Eukaryota; Metazoa; Mollusca; Bivalvia; Mytilida; Mytilidae.